CUUCUCAGUUGGAGGAGAAGCUCUCCACACUGAACGUCUGAAUGUCACAUCUCAUGUCUGUCCUCACCUCCGCUCCUCCCCUGGACGCUACAGAGGGUCCUUGUGUGUGUGUUCCUUCCUCCCUUCCUUCCCGCUUAGCCGUGUGUGCAAGCAAGGACGCCCGGGACCGAGUGUGUUCGUAUGCACGAUUCCAUGCGAAUAUGAAUCCAGCUGCGUAUUGACCGUGAUCUGCAGACUGUGUCCUCUGGCAGCUGAAGCAAGAACAGCAUAAAACAGUCCAGGAUUAUGUCCCUCUAUCACCCGGUAAUCCCCCCCCCACACGUCCAUUUCAUUGAGUAACUUUCAUUAACCUUCUGUAUAAGCACAUUUUUUUCCCUUAAAGCCACAGUGCUCUCUCUUAAAGCCACAGUGAUCUCUCUUAAAGCCACAGUGAUCUCUCUUAAAGCCACAGUGCUCUCUCUUAAAGCCACAGUGCUCUCUCUUAAAGCGACAGUGCUCUCUCUUAAAGCCACAGUGCUCUCUCUUAAAGCCACAGUGACCUCUCUUAAAG
Gasterosteus aculeatus aculeatus (three-spined stickleback) is the source of this 550-nucleotide long non-coding RNA. NCBI's taxonomy places the organism in Eukaryota, Metazoa, Chordata, Actinopteri, Perciformes, Gasterosteidae. The record is from Ensembl.